RNAcentral lists this ribosomal RNA (253 nucleotides) under uncultured bacterium. Its description in RNAcentral is "partial 16S ribosomal RNA". It matches the Rfam family "Bacterial small subunit ribosomal RNA", at positions 524 to 776 of the family's 1533-position model. The record is from RNAcentral.
UACAGAGGUGGCAAGCGUUGUUCGGAAUUACUGGGCGUAAAGAGCGCGCAGGCGGUCGUUCAAGUCGCGUGUGAAAGCCCCCGGCUCAACUGGGGAGGGUCACGCGAUACUGAUCGACUCGAAGGCAGGAGAGGGAAGUGGAAUUCCCGGUGUAGUGGUGAAAUGCGUAGAUAUCUGGAGGAACACCGGUGGCGAAGGCGGCGUCCUGGACCAACACUGACACUGAUGAGCGAAAGCCAGGGGAGCAAACGGG